Molecule: long non-coding RNA, 2111 nt
Organism: Uranotaenia lowii
Lineage: Eukaryota; Metazoa; Arthropoda; Insecta; Diptera; Culicidae
Exons: 3
Source: RefSeq, a predicted model, not a curated record
ACCACGUAACACAUACAUAAAACGUCCGAAAUCAUUCUUGCAUUUAUGUUGCUGCAAGCAAAGCUUCCGAAGCACACUUGAAUGCUUGUGCUAUAAAGCUCAAUGAAACGAAACUUCUACUAACUAUAAUGAAUAAACAUACUAAUACAUCGAAACACUGUCUGCUGUGGCUGUAAACGUCAAAAUUAAUAAGGUAAACAAAUCAACAUGGGUGGAAUUGAAAUUUUUAGCUGCUGUUUUACGGUUGUUUCUUCAAGAAUUCGAAGUUUUUAUUGGACUUUUUCUGUGCGGACGGCGAGAUUGGGUGGUGAUUUUAUCACAGGCUAUGGUGAGCUACGGAUGAAAUUCUGGAGCCCUUGAAUGGAUCAAUUAGGCUCAAAUACUCGGCUGGCUUGUGUCUCUUGAUAGAGGAUUGUUACCUUUAAUCGAAGGGAAGCUAAGUUCCAUAUGAUAGGUGAGUUUUUAUGCAUAUAUUAAUGCUUUCGAUUUCUUUUUAGGAUGUUGUCGGACGGGAAGAUGAUACACCUGAUGGGUGGCAUGAUACAACGGCGUAAUACAUACGAUGUCGCGCGACACGGGGUGUCCAUAAACAACGUAACAUCUCAAGAUAAGUUUCACAACCGGAAGAAAGUGUGAGAUGUUCAAUUCAACAAACACGCAGAACUGUACUGAUAAUAUCAGUACGCAGAUUCCAAAUAUUACUGAACUCGAAAUAACUCUACGCAAUGAACCUCAAACGACACUAAAUUCCUAAACAUAAGUACCAUAAAUAUUGUACCUUAUAAUCUCCAAAAAUAUCAAGCCUAUAUGGGGCUGAAUAGUCAUAAGUCCUUUAGAUAAUUCAUCUAAUUAGUAGAUGAAGUAUAGUCUUUCAACCAAUGUUGAAAUCAUUUAGCUAGUAGUUUAUACAGUUAUGAGAAUGCUCUCAAAUUAUUAUAUUGUAUUUUCCGAUAGUUUUUCGUUUAGGUGUUUUUUUGUAGCUAAAUUGUCCUUACAAAACUGUAUUUAUUUUCUUGAUUUCGUGAUAAUAUAUUGUAAUCAAAACUCCAUAGACUUAUUCUUCGCAAACAAAGAAAUAGAACAACUUUUGGGUACUAAUAUGUAACCCUUUCUCCAGAAAAACUCAAUAUUAAAUUCAACGCUGAAGCGUAAUCUCCACAAAAAAAUACCUUUAAGUUGGGCGCCAAGAUGUAGCCGCCACUGACCGAUCCCUUACUGGCGUACGACUUAAGCGCCACUCCGUUAGGAGAUCGUACGCCACGGUUUAAUAUGCCCGGUGAGACUCCGCUGAGGGCGAGUCCAUAAAUUGUCCUUAAAAGUGAUUAAGGAUCGGAUCAGAUAGGGCUCUCCAAAUAGCUAACCCAAAAUGCGACGAAACUAACACAUUAUGACGAAAUUGCUACCAAUCAACAUAAAAUCCUUAGAACGCCUCAGUUAUAGAUCGCCCAUACCUGGCAAUCUCAUCACUGAGCUAACGACCUCCCAUUCCCCGAUUGUAAAGGACAGCUUAUUUGCGCAUGAAACCCCCAGGUCCUCCCCAGACUACCCCAGUAUGGUCAAAUUCUUCAAUCAAUAAUUAAAGGAAAUCAUGGGAUACUUUUACAAUUUACAAAUUUAUUUCCUACGGCAUCGAAAUUAUGGCAUAUUUAAACUAGCUAAUCCUACUUGCGUGCAACUUCUAAGAAAACGCCUAAAGGUAUCCCUAUAAUCGUGCGUGCUUUGGCGACAAGCUUAUAGCAACAUAGCUUGUCGCGCCCGGGCUUUUAUGUUUCCAGAGGGGUUUCCCUAAACAAAGGCACGGGAAUUUCGACCUCACUUCUGGCUUUACAUCGGUGACGGGACUAUGUUAACCGUCGGCUAGCAUAAAAACAUAAAUCAACGCAGGUCUUAAAUAUGGACGACCCCUUCGUUGAUCAUAAAAGCUCUCCAAUUAGAAUGGACUCACCGAAUGCUGCGAUCCUGUUCCUCGCUGGUCGGAGAUGAGAGCUGUUGGCGAUGUUGAAUGAUGACUCCUUAGCGGUGAUGAGUCAUCAUGCUCUCGGAAUGCUGGCUGGCGAGUAUUCGGCGACCUCGAUGGCGAUUUUGGCGACCACCGACGAUGUUAGGUGCUG